CGGGCCCUGGCGCUGCCUAUAAUGCAGUCGAGCGAACGGACGAGAGUGCUUGCACUCUCUGAUGUUAGCGGCGGACGGGUGAGUAACACGUGGGUAACCUACCUAUAAGACUGGGAUAACUUCGGGAAACCGGAGCUAAUACCGGAUAAUAUUUAGCUUCGCAUGAAGCAAUAGUGAAAGACGGUUCUGCUGUCACUUAUAGAUGGACCCGCGGUGUAUUAGCUAGUUGGUGAGGUAACGGCUCACCAAGGCAACGAUACAUAGCCGACCUGAGAGGGUGAUCGGCCACACUGGGACUGAGACACGGCCCAGACUCCUACGGGAGGCAGCAGUAGGGAAUCUUCCGCAAUGGACGAAAGUCUGACGGAGCAACGCCGCGUGAGUGAAGAAGGUUUUCGGAUCGUAAAACUCUGUUGUAAGGGAAGAACAAGUACGUUAGUAACUGAACGUACCUUGACGGUACCUUACCAGAAAGCCACGGCUAACUACGUGCCAGCAGCCGCGGUAAUACGUAGGUGGCAAGCGUUAUCCGGAAUUAUUGGGCGUAAAGCGCGCGUAGGCGGUCUCUUAAGUCCGAUGUGAAAGCCCCCGGCUCAACCGGGGAGGGUCAUUGGAAACUGGGAGACUUGAGUGCAGAAGAGGAGAGUGGAAUUCCAUGUGUAGCGGUGAAAUGCGCAGAGAUAUGGAGGAACACCAGUGGCGAAGGCGGCUCUCUGGUCUGUAACUGACGCUGAGGUGCGAAAGCGUGGGGAUCAAACAGGAUUAGAUACCCUGGUAGUCCACGCCGUAAACGAUGAGUGCUAAGUGUUGGGGGGUUUCCGCCCCUCAGUGCUGCAGCUAACGCAUUAAGCACUCCGCCUGGGGAGUACGGUCGCAAGACUGAAACUCAAAAAGAAAUUGACGGACAU
Molecule: ribosomal RNA, 908 nt
Filed under: Macrococcoides caseolyticum
Lineage: Bacteria; Bacillati; Bacillota; Bacilli; Caryophanales; Staphylococcaceae
Description: bacterial SSU rRNA
Rfam family: Bacterial small subunit ribosomal RNA
Source: RNAcentral